CCCGUUCCCAUCCCGAACACGGUAGUUAAGCUUCUCUGCGCCAAUGGUAGUUGGGGGCUUCCCCCUGCGAGAGUAGGUCGCUGCCGGGC
This 89-nucleotide ribosomal RNA is filed under the name Listeria monocytogenes. The record is from RNAcentral. RNAcentral also lists the same sequence under 4 other names. Lineage: Bacteria; Bacillati; Bacillota; Bacilli; Caryophanales; Listeriaceae.